AGCGUGACGGCGCGAGCAGGUGCGAAAGCAGGUCAUAGUGAUCCGGUGGUUCUGAAUGGAAGGGCCAUCGCUCAACGGAUAAAAGGUACUCCGGGGAUAACAGGCUGAUACCGCCCAAGAGUUCAUAUCGACGGCGGUGUUUGGCACCUCGAUGUCGGCUCAUCACAUCCUGGGGCUGAAGUAGGUCCCAAGGGUAUGGCUGUUCGCCAUUUAAAGUGGUACGCGAGCUGGGUUUAGAACGUCGUGAGACAGUUCGGUCCCUAUCUGCCGUGGGCGCUGGAGAACUGAGGGGGGCUGCUCCUAGUACGAGAGGACCGGAGUGGACGCAUCACUGGUGUUCGGGUUGUCAUGCCAAUGGCACUGCCCGGUAGCUAAAUGCGGAAGAGAUAAGUGCUGAAAGCAUCUAAGCACGAAACUUGCCCCGAGAUGAGUUCUCCCUGACUCCUUGAGAGUCCUGAAGGAACGUUGAAG
This 471-nucleotide ribosomal RNA is filed under the name Escherichia coli. RNAcentral's name for it is "partial 23S ribosomal RNA". It matches the Rfam family "Bacterial large subunit ribosomal RNA", at positions 2378 to 2843 of the family's 2925-position model. Lineage: Bacteria; Pseudomonadati; Pseudomonadota; Gammaproteobacteria; Enterobacterales; Enterobacteriaceae. The record is from RNAcentral.